AGUCGAGGGGUAUAAGUCUUCGGAUUUAGAGACCGGCGCACGGGUGCGUAACGCGUAUGCAAUCUACCUUUUACAGGGGGAUAGCCCAGAGAAAUUUGGAUUAAUACCCCAUGGUAUAAUUGAAUGGCAUCAUUUAAUUAUUAAAGUCACAACGGUAAAAGAUGAGCAUGCGUCCCAUUAGCUAGUUGGUAAGGUAACGGCUUACCAAGGCAACGAUGGGUAGGGGUCCUGAGAGGGAGAUCCCCCACACUGGUACUGAGACACGGACCAGACUCCUACGGGAGGCAGCAGUGAGGAAUAUUGGUCAAUGGGCGCAAGCCUGAACCAGCCAUGCCGCGUGCAGGAUGACGGUCCUAUGGAUUGUAAACUGCUUUUGCACAGGAAGAAACACUGAUUCGUGAAUCAGCUUGACGGUACUGUGAGAAUAAGGAUCGGCUAACUCCGUGCCAGCAGCCGCGGUAAUACGGAGGAUCCAAGCGUUAUCCGGAAUCAUUGGGUUUAAAGGGUCCGUAGGCGGUUUGGUAAGUCAGUGGUGAAAGCCCAUCGCUCAACGGUGGAACGGCCAUUGAUACUGCUAAACUUGAAUUAUUAGGAAGUAACUAGAAUAUGUAGUGUAGCGGUGAAAUGCUUAGAGAUUACAUGGAAUACCAAUUGCGAAGGCAGGUUACUACUAAUGGAUUGACGCUGAUGGACGAAAGCGUGGGUAGCGAACAGGAUUAGAUACCCUGGUAGUCCACGCCGUAAACGAUGGAUACUAGCUGUUGGGAGCAAUCUCAGUGGCUAAGCG
This 787-nucleotide ribosomal RNA is filed under the name uncultured Bacteroidota bacterium. RNAcentral describes it as "bacterial SSU rRNA". It matches the Rfam family "Bacterial small subunit ribosomal RNA", at positions 60 to 853 of the family's 1533-position model. The record is from RNAcentral. Lineage: Bacteria; Pseudomonadati; Bacteroidota.